This 813-nucleotide ribosomal RNA is filed under the name uncultured bacterium. RNAcentral describes it as "bacterial SSU rRNA". It matches the Rfam family "Bacterial small subunit ribosomal RNA", at positions 8 to 796 of the family's 1533-position model. The record is from RNAcentral.
AGAGUUUGAUCCUGGCUCAGACUGAACGUUAGCGGCGUCGAUUACGCAUGCAGGUCGAGCGCAUGGCAGCGCCUCACCGUGCGCUCUCUUCUAGAGGAGAGGAUGUCGUGAGGGUCUGGCGAAAGUGGCGAAAGGGGCAGUAAGGUGUGGGUAACGUACCCCGGGGACUGGGAUAGCCAUUCUAUCGAGUGGGUAAUGCCAGGCGAUGUAGCGAGAUCGCAUGACCAUGCUACGAAAUGAAUUUCGCCUCGGGAGCGGCUCACGUGGUAUUAGGCUAGUUGGUGGGGUAAUGGCCUAGCAAGGCAAAGAUGCCUAGCAGGUGUGAGAGCAUGACGUGCGCCACUGGCACUGAGACACUGGCCAGACUCCUACAGGAGGCUGCAGUCGAGGAUCUUCGGCAAUGGGCGCAAGCCUGACCGAGCGACGCCGCGUGUGCGAUGAAGGCCUUCGUGUUGUAAAGCUCUGUUGAGGUGGAGGAAGCCGCAAGUUUGACCUAUCCCUGGAGGAAGCACGGGCUAAGUUCGUGCCAGCAGCCGCGGUAAGACGAACCGUGCGAACGUUGUUGGGAUUCACUGGGCUUAAAGGGCGGGUAGGCGGGUUGCCAAUUCAGGGGUGAAUUCUUUGGGUUCAACCGGAAAACGGCCCCUGAUCCUGGUAUUCUUGAGGGAGAGGGGCAGGUGGACCUUCCGGUGGAGCGGUGAAAUGUGUUGAUAUCGGAAGGAACGCCGGUGGCGAAAGCGACCUGCUGGAUCUCUUCUGACGCUGAGGCGCGAAAGCUAGGGGAGCGAACGGGAUUAGAUACCCCGGUAGUCC